This 29-nucleotide non-coding RNA is filed under the name Homo sapiens (human). The record is from RNAcentral. Lineage: Eukaryota; Metazoa; Chordata; Mammalia; Primates; Hominidae.
UUGGCACUGGAGUGCACAUGGUACGGUUC